UAUUUUUCUCUUUUAACCACGCGCCUCUAUCCCAUUCCCUCCAUCUUUCUUCAUCUUUGGUCUCCUAUUCUUCCAUCUCUUCGAUCAUUACCAACCGAUUUCCUAGAUUUGUCUCAACCUCUGUCUUUGUACUAUUUGCGAAAAAAUUGAACACCUCCGAUUUGCGAAAAUUCUCUUAAUCUUCUCCACAGCGCUGCUUGUGGCAUCUAAUGUGUUGUGGGAUGCUCUGACUUCGGCCAGCACUGCGCCGUAGCUUUUGGCGACUUGGAAGAGUAUAACGAUUUUUCUCUUUUUCUUUUUCUUUUCUUUUUUUUUUUGCUCUUCAUUUUUUAUUUGAAGUUCAAAAUGAGGACGGUUGAAAAAGCAGUUUCCAUUGCUUCUCAUGAUUCUGAAGUAUCCAUUUCAGUUUUAUGAGGGACGUGAAGUUGUUGAUUGGCUGAAGUGUAUUAAUGAAGUGAUUUGCUACGGGCAAGCAGGGGUUUUGAUCCAUUGGUUGUAUUGUUGCUGAUUCUUUCAGCCAUCUUCAGACGUUGCUUCUCUAAUGGCGUCUGGAAAGUCCCCCUACAUGAGUUCCACUUAUAGAUAUUCACCAUUGCUCGCGUUUUUGCUCGUGCCAAACACUAUCUUCCAUCGUUGUUGGUGAAAGUUUCUAUUCUCAGCACAAGUACUAUUUUGAAGAAACGUGGGGAUCCAGAAAAUCUGUGCGUCGGUUCUGUUAUGGUUUCACUUUUUAACCCGUACAUUUACUAUUGGCACCAGAGGAAACUGCAGACCUCUUGUUUGUUCAGUGGUUCUUAAGAUCCUUUUCUGCUUGAUGAACGGUGCCAGUUGCUACAAACUGCAUUUUGGUAUGGACUUGUCCAUUUCAAAAUCUACCCAAUCAUCUAUGCCCUUCCUAUUCUUCUGAUUCAGGACCAGAAUGUAUUCAAAUCUAGUCUGAAUCCCACUCUUCAAAAAUGGAGCCAGGAUGAUGAAAAGGCUCUUUGGAGCAAUUUACGAUCAAGUCGCAACCCCCACUCUCGUCUUCUUCUUCUUCGAAAUCACACAGCCGUCGUCGCCCCUGCCUCUCUUCUCUCCACCGAGAUCUCCGACGACAAUCUCCCUUAGUUUGUCGAAGCCGCCACCAUCACCUCAGUUCUUCGUCAAGCUUCUGUUCGUCGUUAGCCCAAGCUGCCACAUCCCGAGCUGCUCCCCUUUCCGUUAGCCAUCUCCUCUACGUCGGAACAUUUGGAUCUAAAGCGAGCGGACUAUGUCUACUCCAACCGAUGUUUGUCCACGAAGCUUCGACUGCAGUCGUUGCAUCUCCACGAACCCAGCUGUCGCCGUCACGAUCUUCCAUUCGCAUGGAGAUUGUUGCACCAUCCAUCCUUCUCUGUAGCACAUUGUCGCACCAGGACGUGCUCUCCUCGAGCAGUUAUGUCCCAAGUGUGGGUGCAUAAUUUGUAUUAAUUAUAGGGUAUUUGUUGAUUCUGUUACAAAUGUAUUCAUAAAUCACAUUUGUCAAUUAGGUAGGGGCAUUUAAGACAUUGUUCUCCCAUUUAUUAUUUAAAAAUUCUUCGUUUUGCUAUUUUGUCAAUUUAAAAAUAAAAUUUUCAUUUUAUCCAAACUAAACCUCUAAUUUUGCUAUUUUUCUUGUCAGCCUUAAUUGAAUCACCAAAACUCAACACGUCACAAUCCACUAACCAUUAGUAAAAUUAUUCACUCUCAUUGGGCUUAGUGUCAUCACUAUAAGCUUCCACUUAGCCCACUAAGAGUUAGAGGAAUUAUCCAACAUUAGUCAAGGAGCAAAAUGUUCAUUGGACUAUUCUAUUCAAAGUUAAACUUUGACUUUUUAAGUCAACAGUCAAUAUUUUGACUUUUUACCAUUUUGACUUCCUUGACUAAUUUCAACCUCUCAAGCAUGAAUCUAAAUUCAUUUUCUUGAAAUUUAAAUCAUAUUUGAAUAUAUUCCUCGGUCAAAGUUUGAUUAGUUAAAGUCAAAAGUCAACAUUUUGACUUUUUUUAAUUUUGACUAUUUCUAUCAUUUCUGAGCUUCCGAGUAUGAAUCUAUAUUCAUAUUUUUUAUAUUUAAAUCAUAUUUAAACAUAAAACUCUAUCUCUAAGUCAACGACUUUAUCAUAUAUACUUGUCGGUUUCUCUCUGCACACCUAAUUCAAAUAAUUUGAAUUAGUCCAUCAUAUUGUUCUAAAGUUUAUUCCUUAUGAACUAGCAAUGGAAUCUAAUGGGCCUAUAGAUCAUGGACUUCAAUAAUCCAAGAUUAACUAGCUCAACCCUUUUAGACCUAAUCAGCAUUUGUUAACUAAUAGGUCAUUCCACUAAAGUCGCUUAGUUGCACUCUCCUCACCAUAGAUCUAUUUAUGUUCAUCUGAUUUAACCAUGAUUAGUAAGUUAAUCCUUCACAGGUUGUUCAUAACUUCGGCUGGGUCAAAGAUAUUUUUUUAUCUCUGAGACUACAUAUUGCUCCUUAAGUAUUGCUGAUCCACUAUUGAAUAAUUGGUUUAAGGUCAAACCUAUAAACUGAAUCACUCUCAGGCCAAUGUUGAUGAGCUGUCUUCCAAGGGAACAACCUAUCUACUAACUCUAAAUUGGGUAGGAGUGAGUUCUGUCUUCCAACGUUGAUGAGCUGUCCUCAGCUACGCAGAUCUAAGGAUAAUCUCGUAUGAACAGGAGUUCCUAGUUAACUCAGCAUUAAUCAGGAUUAAGAUUAAAUUACCUAGUUCAUCAAUAAUUGAAAUAGUCACUUUUAAAUAGUAAAUAGUGUUAUAACAUAAAAGUAUUUCAUGGUUCAAUUUCAUGUAAAUUCUUUACAUUGGAUGCCCCACUUUCAUGUCUCUAUAUGAACAAUUUAGGAUUACAUUGUUUGUACUAAUUACAAAGCGGACCGCAUCCAUAGUAUCCCUAAAUAAGGCGUCCAACUUUUAUUCAUAUACUAUAUACCAUUUUAGACUAUAUA
Molecule: long non-coding RNA, 2953 nt
Organism: Cucumis melo (muskmelon)
Lineage: Eukaryota; Viridiplantae; Streptophyta; Magnoliopsida; Cucurbitales; Cucurbitaceae
Exons: 6
Source: RefSeq, a predicted model, not a curated record